UAGGGAAUCUUCCACAAUGGGCGAAAGCCUGAUGGAGCAACGCCGCGUGUGUGAUGAAGGGUUUCGGCUCGUAAACNCUGUUGUAAGAGAAGAAUGACAUUGAGAGUAACUGUUCAAUGUGUGACGGUAUCUUACCAGAAAGGAACGGCUAAAUACGUGCUAG
This 163-nucleotide ribosomal RNA is filed under the name uncultured bacterium. RNAcentral describes it as "partial 16S rRNA". It matches the Rfam family "Bacterial small subunit ribosomal RNA", at positions 355 to 511 of the family's 1533-position model. The record is from RNAcentral.